CAGAUAUGACUUAGAAUAUGAUUGAAUAUGAAUACAUGAUUGAAGAUAUAUUAUAAAAUUGAGAUACUUGUUGCACCACUCCAGGCAUAUCGUGUGCACUGGCCCUGCUAGCUAAUGCUCUUCCCUCCACUACCAUCACCUUAUGGGUGGGGACUCUCGUGGAAAGGCUAGAUGAUGGAGUCACGUGCUCCCUUCCCGUUCACUAGCUGCUGAUUGGCCAACUGCUCCUGCCAGC
Long non-coding RNA from Pan troglodytes (chimpanzee), 235 nucleotides. RefSeq lists it as uncharacterized. Lineage: Eukaryota; Metazoa; Chordata; Mammalia; Primates; Hominidae. The transcript has 3 exons. The record is from RefSeq and is a predicted model, not a curated record.